Molecule: RNA transcript, 561 nt
Organism: Humulus lupulus (European hop)
Lineage: Eukaryota; Viridiplantae; Streptophyta; Magnoliopsida; Rosales; Cannabaceae
Exons: 3
Source: RefSeq, a predicted model, not a curated record
CAUCAUAUGUCGCUUGGUAUUGGAGACGUUAAAAUUAGGGUGGAAAAUAAAAUUAAGAUCCCGCGCUCUUAUUCUUCACUGUACACCCCCGCGAAAAAAAUUUCUUCUCGUCUUCUUCAUUCCGCCAGCAACCCAAACUGCAGCGACUCUCCCUCCCCAACUCCGGUCACUCAGCUUCACGAUCUCAUCAUCUCAGCUCCCUUCGGCAUCAACUCUCACUGUAACCUCUCUAGAAUCGCCUCCUUCUUCUUCAAAUUUCGGCAUCCUCGGCAAUCGCACGGGUUUGGGCAUAACAAAAGGCCAAUCGCAAAGGUGCGCUUUGGUUUAGAUAUUGGAAAAUCUGUUGGUUCGGUACAUAGAUUUGGAUUAAGAGAUUGAGUUCAGAGAUUGAGUUCGUGUCAUACAGCAGCAAGACCUGUGAUAUUGGAGCCUGUUAUGUUGGCAAAUUUGUGAAGUGCAGUGUGAGCAGCCAAACAAUUCAUUAUACACUUUCACAGGCAAUCUCAUUUUUCAGAAGCAAACUAUACCUCUCACCCCAAACCAACUCCUGCUGAGAGUAAG